UACGUAGGUGGCAAGCGUUAUCCGGAUUUAUUGGGCGUAAAGGGAACGCAGGCGGUCUUUUAAGUCUGAUGUGAAAGUCUUCGGCUUAACCGGAGUAGUGCAUUGGAAACUGGGAGACUUGAGUGCAGAAGAGGAGAGUGGAACUCCAUGUGUAGCGGUGAAAUGCGUAGAUAUAUGGAAGAACACCAGUGGCGAAAGCGGCUCUCUGGUCUGUAACUGACGCUGAGGUUCGAAAGCGUGGGUAGCAAACAGG
RNAcentral lists this ribosomal RNA (253 nucleotides) under uncultured bacterium. RNAcentral describes it as "partial 16S ribosomal RNA". It matches the Rfam family "Bacterial small subunit ribosomal RNA", at positions 524 to 776 of the family's 1533-position model. The record is from RNAcentral.